This 896-nucleotide long non-coding RNA is filed under the name Eptatretus burgeri (inshore hagfish). RNAcentral describes it as "lncRNA (ENSEBUG00000017485.1)". Lineage: Eukaryota; Metazoa; Chordata; Myxini; Myxiniformes; Myxinidae. The record is from RNAcentral.
CAGCCGAGGGGCCUCGAUACCUAGCCUAUAACCUUCCUGGGGUCCGUCCCAACAUUCUUUGUUUCAAUCAAACUCCAAAACGGUCGACUUUUCAGGUACUCCGGGAUACGGCGUGUUUUUCACAACCGUAGCCUUGUCUGUAGUUGACGUGGUGUGCAGUUGGUGGGACUCUUGUACGUUGGACCGGGACUUCCAAAGUUAUGUCCACUUGUUGGAGACAUGCCUGGGUCGAGGAAGGAAAUGGAGUUGAAAACACGGCUCCGCAAACCCCCGACGACACUUGGCUGAGAGAUCGAUUACGAUUCCAUCAAAACUUUCAUUUGCCAAGGGACGUGAGAUCGGGUUCUCUUCUCUCGGGAGCAAUAUCCGCACACCUUCCUCGGCAGGUGAUGUUACGAGGCAUUUAAUCACCUGUCGGAGCACAUGGGGCUUUCCUUUGAGGCUUCUUCAGGAAGAUGGGGAGAUUUGGUUCCUCUGCAGCUACAGACAUUCACAAGUAGCACAUACGUGAGAAUGCUACAUGCCUCAGCUGCCGGACCGGUUUCAUCAAUUGUUGUUUGCCCGUGGCCUCGUGAACCAUCGCCGUCUCCAGACUUGUACCUUCUAUAUUUGUUAGACAUCACACGUACACCAAUAUAUCAAUGAGUGUGCCGUCCAUCGGAUAUUCCAUCCGCAAUGACUACCUGGUGGACCUUAAAGAUCCCACAGCAUCUUUCGCGAAGAGUAGGUGAGUUAUUGUACUUUGAACACGUUACAAAUCUGAGUCAACUGCACGUCGUCAGUGGACGUCAGGCCUGGCCAACCGGUUUGUAAAAGACUCGGCCAAAAAUGUUCCCCGGCCAACACCACAAGGAGGAAGGAAUGAUUGUUGCCAUUAUAGAACCCCCCCCCCCCCC